GAGUGUGAGGGCAAUCUUGCUGCAACAUCUGUCACCCCAUUGAUCUCCAGGGUUGAUUCGGAUGAUCUGGCUGACUAGGUGGGUGUCCCCUUCCUCCUUCACCACUCCAUGUGUGUCCCUCGUUCCAUGUGUGUCCCUCCUUAAGCUGGGUGCUCAAUGGCAUGGCCUUCCCUUAAUAGAGACAGAUUGUUCUUUGGUUGAAGGUAUCUGAAUAGCUGCAGUCCCCUGCUAGAACCAACAAACAAGCUCUCAAGAUCCAUUUGUAGGAGAACAUAGGUAGUCAAGCUUCCAAGACUCCAGACAGUAAGGUGCUGCAUGUAGCAGUCUGCCUUAAAAA
Erinaceus europaeus (western European hedgehog) is the source of this 337-nucleotide unclassified non-coding RNA. Its record names the gene 7SK. It matches the Rfam family "7SK RNA". Rfam says of the family: 7SK was discovered as an abundant small nuclear RNA in the mid-70s but a possible function has only recently been suggested. Two independent studies have found that 7SK RNA binds the CDK9/cyclin T complex (known as elongation factor P-TEFb). NCBI's taxonomy places the organism in Eukaryota, Metazoa, Chordata, Mammalia, Eulipotyphla, Erinaceidae. The record is from Ensembl.